RNAcentral lists this long non-coding RNA (1994 nucleotides) under Fragaria vesca (wild strawberry). RNAcentral describes it as "long non-coding RNA (FVES_LNC002105)". The record is from RNAcentral. Lineage: Eukaryota; Viridiplantae; Streptophyta; Magnoliopsida; Rosales; Rosaceae.
UUUUCUAUUAUCAAAUCAUCAUAUCUAAGUACCUCUCGAGCUGACGGAACAUGAAAAUGUUAAUCUGAUUAGUGUGUAUGAGACUUGCUUGGUUUCAGCCUAAACCCCUUACUGUAACACACAGUUUUUCUUAUUCAAAAUUGAAAGUGCUUAUUUUUUAACCUAAACUUUUUCUACAAUCAAAUAAUCAUUUCUCAGUACCUCUCGAGUUAACUGAACAUGAAUAUCUUAAUCCAUAUUGUAUAGGAUUUCCACUUGAUUUCGGUCAAAAAAACCCUUACUAUAGCACACGGUUUUUCUGGUCAAAAUUGAAAGUUCUUAUUUUUGAACCAAACUUUUACUAUUAUCAAAUCAUCAUUUCUAAGUACAUCUCGAGCUGACGGAACAGGAAAAUCUUAAUCCCAUUAGUGUAUAGGAUUUCCACUUGGUUUCGGUCCAAAAACUCUUGCUAUCACACGGUUUUUCUGGUCAAAAUUGAAGGUUCUUAUUUUUGAACUUUUUCUAUUAUCAAAUCAUCAUUUCUAAGUACCUCUCGAGCCGACGGAACAUGAAAAUGUAAUCUGAUUACUGUGUAUGAGACUUGCUUGGUUUCAGCCUAAACCCCUUACUGUAACACAUGGUUUUUCUGAUCAAAAUUGAAGGUUCUUAAUUUUUAACCAAACUUUUUCUAUUAUCAAAUCAUCAUUUCUAAGUACCUCCUGAGUUGACGGAACAGGAAAAUUUUAAUUCCAUUAGUGUCUAGGAUUUCCGCUUGAUUUCGGUCGAAAAACCCUUGCAAUAGCACACGGUUUUUCUGGUCAAAAUUGAAAGUUCUUAUUUUUCAACCAAACUUUUUCUGUUCUUAUUUUUCAACCAAACUUUUUCUAUUAUUAAAUUAUCAUUUCUAAGUACCUCUCGAGCUGACGGAACACGUAAAUGUUAAUCCCAUUAGUGUAUACGAUCGAGUUCCGCUUGAUUUCGACCCAAUACCCCUUGCUAUAGCACAUGGUUUUUCUUGUCCAAAUCGAAUAUUCUUAUUUUUGAACCAAACUUUUUCUAUUAUCAAAUCAUCAUUUCUAAGUACCCUCGAGCUGACGGAACACGAAAAUCUUAAUCCCAUUAGUGUAUACGAGUUCCGCUUGAUUUCAACCCAAAACCCUUUUCAUAUAGCACACGGUUUUUCUGGUCAAAAUUGAAGGUUCUUAUUUUUUAACCAAACUUUUCCUAUUAUCAAAUCAUCAUUUCUAAAUACCUCUCGAGCUCACGGAACACGAAAAUCUUAAUCCCAUUAGUGUAUACGAUUUCCACUUGAUUUGGGUCCAAAACCUUUUGCACACGGUUUUUUCGGUCAAAAUUGAAUAUUCUAAUUUUUGAACCAACCUUUUCUAUUAUCAAAUCAUCAUUUCUAUGUAUCUCUCGAGCUGACCAAAUGCGAAAAUCUUAUUCCAAUCAAUGUGUAUGAGACUUACUUAAUAUCAUCCUAAAACCUCUUGCCACACGGUUUUUUUGUCAAACUUGAAUGUUGUUAUUUUUGUACCAAACCUUUUCUCUUAUUAAAUCAUCAUUUAUAAGUAUCAUUCGAGCUGACGGAACGCGAAAAUUUUAAUCUGAUUAGUGUAUUCGUGUUCCGCUUAAUUUCGGCCUAAUACCCGUUGCCGCACACAGUUCAUCCGGUCAAAAUUGAAUGUUCUUAUUUUGAACCAAACAUUUUCUAUUAUCAAAUCAUCAUAUCUAAGUACCUCUCGAGGUGACGGAACGCGAAAAUCUUAAUUCGAUUAGUGUAUAUGAGACUUGCUUGAUAUCAUCCUAAAACCUAUUUUUAUAGCACACGGUUUUUUCAAUCAAAAUUGAAUGUUUUUAUUUUGGAACCAAACUUUUUCUUUUAUCAAAUUAUCAUUUUUAGAUACUUCUCUAAUUGACCGAACGUGAAAAAUCUCUAUCGUAUUAGUGUAUAUGUGUUUCACUUAAUUUCAGCCCAAAACUUCUUGCUAUAUCACACAGUUUUUUUUGUAAAG